UACGGAGGGGACUAGCGUUGUUCGGAAUUACUGGGCGUAAAGCGCACGUAGGCGGAUUUGUAAGUCAGGGGUGAAAUCCCGGGGCUCAACUCCAGAACUGCCUUUGAUACUGGCGAUCUCGAGUCCGGGAGAGGUGAGUGGAACUGCGAGUGUAGAGGUGAAAUUCGUAGAUAUUCGCAAGAACACCAGUGGCGAAGGCGGCUCACUGGCCCGGUACUGACGCUGAGGUGCGAAAGCGUGGGGAGCAAACAGG
RNAcentral lists this ribosomal RNA (253 nucleotides) under uncultured bacterium. Its description in RNAcentral is "partial 16S ribosomal RNA". It matches the Rfam family "Bacterial small subunit ribosomal RNA", at positions 524 to 776 of the family's 1533-position model. The record is from RNAcentral.